CAAGCCAGUUUGGUUCGACUCAAGUGAAAUGAGAGAGAAUAAAAGAAAAUGAUCGAACCAAACCAGUCAUGUCGAGCCAGUUUGAUUUUAUUUUUUAUAUAUAUUUUUUCUGCUCACUAGUUCACCAGCUUUUUUGCCCAUCCCCUAUGUUUUUACACAAGGACUAAAUUACCUAAUCAUAUAAAACACACCGAACGUUUUCAUAUUUAAC
RNAcentral lists this long non-coding RNA (211 nucleotides) under Prunus persica (peach). Its description in RNAcentral is "long non-coding RNA (PPER_LNC006506)". The record is from RNAcentral. Lineage: Eukaryota; Viridiplantae; Streptophyta; Magnoliopsida; Rosales; Rosaceae.